This 253-nucleotide ribosomal RNA is filed under the name uncultured bacterium. Its description in RNAcentral is "partial 16S ribosomal RNA". It matches the Rfam family "Bacterial small subunit ribosomal RNA", at positions 524 to 776 of the family's 1533-position model. The record is from RNAcentral.
GACGAACCGAGCGAACGUUGUUCGGAAUCACUGGGCUUAAAGGGCGCGUAGGCGGCAUACCAAGUCAGGGGUGAAAAUUUGCGGCUUAACCGUAACAGUGCCUUUGAUACUGGUAGGCUAGAGCGAGAUAGGGGUCUACGGAACUUCUGGUGGAGCGGUGAAAUGCGUUGAUAUCAGAAGGAACGCCGGUGGAGAAAGCGGUAGACUGGAUCUCUUCUGACGAAGAGGCGCGAAAGCUAGGGGAGCAAACAGG